UGCCGUGCCUUUGGAGAAGCUACAAAUUGCAGCUUCGCAUUUGACGCGUGCUACAGUUACCCACCACAAAAACAAAGAGGCUCUAAUUGUAUCUUGAAAUUGAUGGUACACCAUGGAAAAACAGAUGUCUCUCCGGAUUUACACCAACAAAAUAUACUCAUUAAACUCUAUUCGUUUGUAUAAACACCUUAAUUAAGAGCUUAUAGCAUAAGCUCUUAUCAUAUAAGUGCUUAUAUGUAUAAGAAAUUUUUAUAAUGAAAGAUAAAAUCGAAAUCAAUUGUCUUCAUAUUAUAUAUAUAUGUCAUAACAUGUUUUCAUAAGCUCUCCCAGAAAGUCUAACAAGUGCUAAUGUUGAUAAACAUGCUCAAAUAACUAAAUCCAAGCAACCUUAUGACAAAUCCACCUAAUUACAAUAACUAUUCAAAAAGAGACCGAUAUUGAGGACAAAACUGAGAGUUCAAUCUUCCUAUACUAAUGAAAUGAAAAAAAAGUAUAAUUUCAGUGUACAGAAAAUUUACCUGACAAAAAGUGAAAUCAUUAUCACUGUCCAUUUCAAAGCACACUGAUGAUUGCAGGCAGGUAGGAUAGGCGAUUAUGGAGGCAGAAUCGCAGGAUCUCUGGCGAUCUAUGAAGCACGCGAUGGAUUGAAAAUAUUGGCUAGGGUUCCUUUUCUGUCGCUGAACUUAUUCACAAAAAGUGAUUUUCUCAAUCUUUGCUGCGUGCGAAAUUACGGUCUAUGCNAAAAUCUAUUAUUUUGCUACAUCACCCAUUUUUGUAGGCCUGUGUUUGGAUAUAAUUCAACCCCACUUCCCUAUGCAGGUUGCCGUGCCUUUGGAGAAGCUACAAAUUGCAGCUUCGCAUUUGACGCGUGCUACAGUUACCCACCACAAAAACAAAGAGGCUCUAAUUGUAUCUUGAAAUUGAUGGUACACCAUGGAAAAACAGAUGUCUCUCCGGAUUUACACCAACAAAAUAUACUCAUUAAACUCUAUUCGUUUGUAUAAACACCUUAAUUAAGAGCUUAUAGCAUAAGCUCUUAUCAUAUAAGUGCUUAUAUGUAUAAGAAAUUUUUAUAAUGAAAGAUAAAAUCGAAAUCAAUUGUCUUCAUAUUAUAUAUAUAUGUCAUAACAUGUUUUCAUAAGCUCUCCCAGAAAGUCUAACAAGUGCUAAUGUUGAUAAACAUGCUCAAAUAACUAAAUCCAAGCAACCUUAUGACAAAUCCACCUAAUUACAAUAACUAUUCAAAAAGAGACCGAUAUUGAGGACAAAACUGAGAGUUCAAUCUUCCUAUACUAAUGAAAUGAAAAAAAAGUAUAAUUUCAGUGUAUAGAAAAUUUACCUGACAAAAAGUGAAAUCAUUAUCACUGUCCAUUUCAAAGCACACUGAUGAUUGCAGGUAGGUAGGAUAGGCGAUUAUGGAGGCAGAAUCGCAGGAUCUCUGGCGAUCUAUGAAGCACGCGAUGGAUUGAAAAUAUUGGCUAGGGUUCCUUUUCUGUCGCUGAACUUAUUCACAAAAAGUGAUUUUCUCAAUCUUUGCUGCGUGCGAAAUUACGGUC
This 1556-nucleotide long non-coding RNA is filed under the name Lathyrus oleraceus (garden pea). RNAcentral's name for it is "Pisum sativum (pea) long non-coding RNA (PSAT_LNC034646)". The record is from RNAcentral. Lineage: Eukaryota; Viridiplantae; Streptophyta; Magnoliopsida; Fabales; Fabaceae.